Molecule: long non-coding RNA, 4001 nt
Organism: Parus major (Great Tit)
Lineage: Eukaryota; Metazoa; Chordata; Aves; Passeriformes; Paridae
Exons: 3
Source: RefSeq, a predicted model, not a curated record
UGGCCAUGAGUGAUGGGUGUGGCGGCCAAUGGACUAUCGAGAUAAGGGUUAAGAGGGGGCUCGGGAGUGUCCAGGGCCGCCUGGCGAGAGGCGAUGCGCUCAAACACACACGGGGAGGGGCGGUUCUGAUUGUGAGUGACAGGAUAAAGCCUUACCUGAAACAACACGGACCAGAUCUGCAGCUGGUGGGAUGAAAAGAUGGAGAUUGGAAAACAUCCUUGUCCUGGGAAUAUUGUGCAGCGAAAGGAGAGGAAAAAAACAAGUCCAGAGAACACAGGAGUCACCACUUCUGCAGAGAGAGUGAACUAAUCUUAUUUUAAAGCUUUUGAAUAGAAUAAACUGUUCAGACCAAAGCGUAACGGGGAGAAAGCGUGAAAUAACAUUUGAGGAUGAAAGUGGAACCGGAGGGGAGGAAAAAAAACAACUACAAAGCCAGGUGGCUGCUUGCUGCGAACACUUUUAUUUAUUAAUAAACACAACACACUCCAAACAUUUGGCUGCUUGACAGAAUCCUCAAAAGUCUUGGAAAGGGAUCAAAGUUCUGCUGCUCUGCCGGGUGCACAACUCAGGGAAUAACGGUGCCUUUAUGGACUCCCUCCUGUGCCAACAGGAGGUGGAUUUGUCCCCGAGGGUGGCGUUGGGGACACUUUGGUGCUGCUGUCUGAGGUGCUGAAGCUGCAGAUCCCCCAGAAGGAACUGGAAAAGCAGCUGGAGAAACCAAACUGGUUGUUACUGGUGCUGUGUUUGAACUGGACGCUGAGAUUCUCUUUAUACCAGUGCAGAGCAGAGGCAUUUGAAUUUCGGGGUAAUUCUGCUCCACUGCAGCUGGAAGCUCUGGGGGUGACUUUUAAGGGUAAAAUGGAUCCACACCCAGGCUCCAGAGCUCUCAGACUGGAUUUUUUUGUGUGUUUUGUGCGAGUUUUCUCCCUCAAAUCCGGGCUGCUGCGGAGGGAAGGCGCCGUGACUCACUGGGCUGGACUGUGCAGCCAACAUGGAAUUGAAAAAGGCAAAAGCUGGCACAAUUCCCUGCAAACAGUGCUGAGUUUCCCAUUUCCCUGCAGAUCACAAGCUGGAAUUCACAGGCCAGAACCACAAGAAGAGAAGAAAUGCGAGUGAAUUAAUAUUUCAAACGAUGUUUUCUGCUCCCAGGAGGUGAAAAUGUGCAGGUUUAAUUGUGGGUAUAGAAAUAUUCCCAGAAAAAGUCACGAGGAUGUAACUCCAUGAAGGAAAAGGAGGAGAAGAUUUUGGGCCAAAAUCCAGGGAUUUGGAAUGAAGAAAGUUCUUAGAAAUUAAGGAUGGUGAGUGACAUUAAAAGAUAACAGAUAAUAAAAGAGUACAGAUAAUAAAAGAAAACAGCAGGAGAUGGAAAGCAGGAAAUGAAACUUGGUGCUCCAAACCAGCUCCAAAUGGACACUAAAAAUAAAUUAAAUAAAAAUAAAAAGAUAAAAAAUCCAAUAGAUUGGAAUUUAAUAUAUAAAUUAAGGAUUAAAAAUUCCGUGUUUCAGCAGGAAACUUGAAAUCCUUCCCUCCAAAAAUGUGUUAAAACUCCCUUUCCUUGGAAAGAGCUGAAACAGGAUCUGGACUCAAGGAAUUAAUGUAGGGAAAAAAAAGCUUUUUAUGGACAGAACUUGUGGCUUUUGUAGGUUUUUAGCUGCAGAAUCACCACAUGAAAUUAAAACUCACUGUGAAAAAGACAAGAGUUUCCCAAAAUCCAAGGGAAAAACCUCUGGAAUUCCUGGAUUUAUUGGAGGAGAUCUUUGGGAGGAUCUGCUCCCUGUUAAAGCAGCCCCUGCAAAGAGCAGAGCUCUUCAAAAUCCUCAAUUUCCAAAGGGGCAUCCACAGCUCUUGGGGAAAAAAAUAAAAUAAAAAUGGGAUUUCUCCAAAGCAGAUGUUGUUGGAGCUGAGCUUAAAAACAAAAUUUGGAGCUCUUGAUGGGCUCCAAAGUGUUUGUUGGGAUUCCUGGCAGCUUUCCUGGGCAGAUGGAGGUGAUUGUGGAGUAAUGGAAAAUGCAGGCUUCCCACGGGGCUGGGAUGUCUGUGUGGAGCUGGUGAUCCUCCCCAAAAAGAGAGGAAAACGGGGAAUUUUCAGGUUAUCCCUUGGAAAUCUGGGAAUUUGUGGACUUCCAGCAGGUUUUUGCUGUGGUGAAAUCAGCUGAUUCCUCCUCAGGUUGUUGCUGAUCCAGGUUUUUAGUAUGGAAUUGAGAUUUAAUUAUUUUUAUUUUUUUUUUUUAAGUUUGGUUUUUAAUCUUGGGGCAGGCAGAACACCCAGAGUUAAACCUGAGGUUUCAAAGGAAAAAAAAAAUCACUUAAAAAUCAGGAAUUUUGGAGUCCCACCCUGGCUUUUUCCAUGCUUUUGGUGUAAAGGAAUAACACAUUUACAUUCCCUGCAGAGAAAAGAAAUCCUCCCAAGGAAAUCCUUCUUUCCUGCUGUGGGAGAAAUCUUAAUUGGGCUCUUAAUGAUGAAAUAAUGGAAGGAAUGGAUAAUUGGGGUCUGGCUGAGUGUCCCAACACCUGCAAGGUGUGUUUGGCCACACCAGGACUUCCAGGAGGGCUCCAGGACCAAACACCCUCACCCAAAAAACCCAGAAAACGGGAAAAUUCCAUUUCCUCCCCUCCAUCCCUGAAGUCUUUUCCUUUUCAGUCCAUUUUGAUGUUAAAUUUGCCAGCUUGGCCUUAUCUUCUCCUUGCAAAUACUCCAAGUUUGGAAAACAAGGAGUGUAAAAGUCAUUUAUGCUCCCGCAGCUGGAGGAAAAGCCGGUGAUGUUUUCAUCGAGCUGAGGCUUCUUUUUCAUUUAUUCUUGAAUAAAAAUCAAACAGAACCGGGGGAACCCAAAAGCUUUGGGUGUUGCAGUUGUUUUGCCUCGCGAGGAGCUGUGUUUGUCACGUCCUGGGGGAUGGUUUUAGGAAGGCCAAGGAAUGUUUUCCUUGCGGAAUUUUGUGGAUUUCAGGAGGAGCCCAGCCAGGGCUGCCCUCAGGCCCAGUGAAUGGUCCCAGUGUAAUUUCGUGAGGCCUUCCCAGAAGUCAGGAGUUCCUUGGGAACAAACCCAGGAAUGUCAUCAAAGAGCCUGGGGCGAGAUCAAGGGGGCUGUGGGCUCCUGGAUUUUCCCACAUUCCCAAAGGGGAACAUUCCCAUCCCACCAUGGCACCAACACCCUCAAACAGAGAGAUCCUUAAACUCUGCUCUCCCCCUCCGUGCUGGGGAGGUCCCCCCUCAUCCCACCCAUGCUCAGGAGGAACAUCCUUUGGAUGAAAUCCAAAUUUCCUUUGGAGGAAAUUCCUUUGCCAGGGAUUUUUCACUUUUCCCUUCUCCCAUGUGGUUCCAUGGGAAGGAUCCUCCCACCCCAAAGUGCUGCUGGGUCCCAUCACGGCCUCAGAUCAUGAUGGAAACACCUCAGGACCUUCCCUGGCUGCUCUCCCUGGCUGCCCUGGGCUCCUCUGUGUGUGUUCCCACCGGGAAAGGCCAGCUGGACAGGGAACAACCACCGGGAAGGGCCUGGAAGAGCCACGGGAAUUCAGAGAUAAGGAGAUUUUCCACGCUGUUCCCUCCAGAAUCACCAGCAGGGUCAGUUAGGAAGUUACCUCUGUUUUGAACCUGUGAAUACACAUAGACUUUCCUCCAAAUUAUUAAUUGAAAUGACUUUUUAAUCUUCUUGCUUCCAAACCUUUGACCAGAACCAAGAAUCCUCUCUCAGCUUUGCUUGAGUACUGUUAGAAGAAUAGCUGGUAAUUGAUGGAACUGGCUUGGUUAAAGACUUGUUUAAAAUGGGCUGUUCAAGAAUUAUUUGUAAUAGAUAUACAAUCUCUGUGUUUUUUCCAAAAUCUAAAAUACAUACAUCGUGUUUCCAUGCUUCUGAACUGCAACCUCUGUUUCCUCCCCCUCUCUUGUAAACAAAGGUAAAACAUCUGCUGUCUUGUUCUGACAACGAAAAACCAUCAAAGUAAAACACAGGCAUAUGUAUACAUACAGGAAAUAACAUUUUUACAGAAAUCAAAAACUUAUUA